UACGCCCUACCUUGUGCGUGCAUCGGCUUUCGGUUGAGCCCUACUUGAGCGAAUCGGGAUGCGGGGACCAGGCUCGUCACAUGCGACGUUCCGCUCCGCGACCCACCUGUUAAAUCAGGUUCAUAUCGCUCGCUGACACGGCGAGGUGGGGCGUUU
Molecule: non-coding RNA, 156 nt
Filed under: Thermoleophilia bacterium
Lineage: Bacteria; Bacillati; Actinomycetota; Thermoleophilia
Description: 6S RNA
Rfam family: 6S / SsrS RNA
About the family: E. coli 6S RNA was the first non coding RNA to be sequenced, but its function was unknown until recently. It consists of 184 nucleotides that fold into an extended hairpin structure with a large single-stranded internal bulge.
Source: RNAcentral